This 490-nucleotide ribosomal RNA is filed under the name uncultured bacterium. RNAcentral's name for it is "partial 16S ribosomal RNA". It matches the Rfam family "Bacterial small subunit ribosomal RNA", at positions 30 to 507 of the family's 1533-position model. The record is from RNAcentral.
AUUGAACGCUGGCGGCAGGCCUAACACAUGCAAGUCGAACGGUAACAGGAAACAGCUUGCUGUUUCGCUGACGAGUGGCGGACGGGUGAGUAAUGUCUGGGAAACUGCCUGAUGGAGGGGGAUAACUACUGGAAACGGUAGCUAAUACCGCAUAACGUCGCAAGACCAAAGAGGGGGACCCUCGGGCCUCUUGCCAUCGGAUGUGCCCAGAUGGGAUUAGCUUGUUGGUGGGGUAACGGCUCACCAAGGCGACGAUCCCUAGCUGGUCUGAGAGGAUGACCAGCCACACUGGAACUGAGACACGGUCCAGACUCCUAAGGGAGGCAGCAGUGGGGAAUAUUGCACAAUGGGCGCAAGCCUGAUGCAGCCAUGCCGCGUGUAUGAAGAAGGCCUUCGGGUUGUAAAGUACUUUCAGCGGGGAGGAAGGGAGUAAAGUUAAUACCUUUGCUCAUUGACGUUACCCGCAGAAGAAGCACCGGCUAACUCCGUG